Molecule: ribosomal RNA, 253 nt
Filed under: uncultured bacterium
Lineage: Bacteria
Description: partial 16S ribosomal RNA
Rfam family: Bacterial small subunit ribosomal RNA
Source: RNAcentral
UACGAAGGGGGCUAGCGUUACUCGGAUUGACUGGGCGUAAAGGGCGCGUAGGCGGCUUGUACAGUCAGACGUGAAAUUCCUGGGCUCAACCUGGGGGCUGCGUUUGAUACGUGCGGGCUUGAGUUCGGAAGAGGGUCGUGGAAUUCCCAGUGUAGAGGUGAAAUUCGUAGAUAUUGGGAAGAACACCGGCGGCGAAGGCGGCGACCUGGUCCGAUACUGACGCUGAGGCGCGAAAGCGUGGGGAGCAAACAGG